UACAGAGGGUGCAAGCGUUAAUCGGAAUUACUGGGCGUAAAGCGCGCGUAGGUGGUUUGUUAAGUUGGAUGUGAAAGCCCCGGGCUCAACCUGGGAACUGCAUCCAAAACUGGCAAGCUAGAGUACGGUAGAGGGUGGUGGAAUUUCCUGUGUAGCGGUGAAAUGCGUAGAUAUAGGAAGGAACAUCAGUGGCGAAGGCGACCACCUGGACUGAUACUGACACUGAGGCGCGAAAGCGUGGGGAGCAAACAGG
Molecule: ribosomal RNA, 253 nt
Filed under: uncultured bacterium
Lineage: Bacteria
Description: partial 16S ribosomal RNA
Rfam family: Bacterial small subunit ribosomal RNA
Source: RNAcentral